CCUACGGGUGGCAGCAGUGAGGAAUAUUGGUCAAUGGCCGUAAGGCUGAACCAGCCAAGUCGCGUGAAGGAAGAAGGAUCUCUGGUUGGUAAACUUCUUUUAUAGGGGAAUAAAGGUAUCCACGUGUGGAUCUUUGCAUGUACCCUAUGAAUAAGCAUCGGAUAACUCCGUGCCAGCAGCCGCGGUAAUCCGGAGGAUGCGAGCGUUCUGCGGAUUUAUUGUGUUUAACGGGUGCGUAGGUUGUUUUUUAAGUCAGCGGUGAAAGUUUGUGGCUCAACAAUAAAAUUGCAGUGGAAACUGGAAGACUUGAGUGUGUUUGAGGUAGGCGGAAUGCGUGGUGUAGCAGUGAAAUGCAUAGAUAUCACGCAGAACUCCGAUUGCGAAGGCAGCUUACUAAGCCAUAACUGACACUGAAGCACGAAAGCGUGGGGAUCAAACAGGAUUAGAUACCCGAGUAGUC
This 460-nucleotide ribosomal RNA is filed under the name uncultured bacterium. Its description in RNAcentral is "partial 16S ribosomal RNA". It matches the Rfam family "Bacterial small subunit ribosomal RNA", at positions 338 to 795 of the family's 1533-position model. The record is from RNAcentral.